This 858-nucleotide ribosomal RNA is filed under the name Triticum aestivum (bread wheat). RNAcentral's name for it is "partial small subunit ribosomal RNA". The record is from RNAcentral. Lineage: Eukaryota; Viridiplantae; Streptophyta; Magnoliopsida; Poales; Poaceae.
AUGGGUACCAAGGCCAUGGAGGCAUUUGUGGCCAAUGAGACCCCCAUAAUCGUGAAUAAGCCUCCUCCACAUGUAUUUAAACUGAUGUCUCUACCAUCAAUGAUUAUAAAGCUCACUUUGGGUUUGCUCUGGUGCAUCAUCCACUUAGCAAUCAGCCUUUUAAGCUUAUGUUCUCAUCUGAUUUUCAAUCUAGAGUGUUGUCUUAUUUCAUCUGGGUUGUUGUGGAAGUACCGGAAUCUCCAACUUGGGAAACUCAAAUACCUCGCUAUCGUGGUAGAUAGCAGAGAAGCUAAGAAUACCGUGAAGAUCAAUCAGCUGUUAUAUUGGCUCAAAACUCUUGGUGUGAAGUAUGUAUGUCUCUACGACAUUGACGGAGUGCUGAAGAAAUUGUUUGAACCUGGUAUGAAUGGCUCAAGAGAUAACAAUCCCGGAGAUUAUUUGGAUGUCAGUGCAAAUAUCAAAGCCUUAGACUGUUGUCAGAAACAGAUGACGAUAGAGUGUAUUUCUGGUUCUGAUGGCAAAGAGGGCAUUGCUAAAGCAGCCAACUUACUUUGCUCCACUUAUUUAAACGGUGAUAGCCAUACUCAAGAGGAUGUCAAAAGUGAAGUGAAUGUAAAAAAUGAGCCAGUAUUUACAGAAACUGACAUGGCCAGUGCACUGAAAUCCAUAGGUUGUGCUGGACCAGAACCUGAUCUUCUACUUGUGUAUGGUCCUGCCAGAUGCCAUUUAGGCUUUCCUACAUGGAGAUUGCGGUAUACUGAGAUUAUGCAUAUGGGACCUCUGAAAUCAAUGAAAUACGGCGCCAUUGUGAAAGCCUUCCAUAACUACUCAAAGAAACACCAAAACUAUGGUAAAUGA